Molecule: ribosomal RNA, 285 nt
Filed under: uncultured Oscillibacter sp.
Lineage: Bacteria; Bacillati; Bacillota; Clostridia; Eubacteriales; Oscillospiraceae
Description: partial 16S ribosomal RNA
Rfam family: Bacterial small subunit ribosomal RNA
Source: RNAcentral
UGGGGAAUAUUGGGCAAUGGGCGCAAGCCUGACCCAGCAACGCCGCGUGAAGGAAGAAGGCUUUCGGGUUGUAAACUUCUUUUGUCAGGGAAGAGGAGAAGACGGUACCUGGCGAAUAAGCCACGGCUAACUACGUGCCAGCAGCCGCGGUAAUACGUAGGUGGCAAGCGUUGUCCGGAUUUACUGGGUGUAAAGGGCGUGUAGCCGGGUCGGUAAGUCAGAUGUGAAAUCUACGGGCUCAACUCGUAAACUGCAUUUGAAACUGCUGAUCUUGGAGUAGUCGGA